GUGGACUAGAUAGGUGUAGAAUACAAGUU
RNAcentral lists this small RNA (29 nucleotides) under Bombyx mori (domestic silkworm). RNAcentral describes it as "ovarian small RNA-17901". The record is from RNAcentral. Lineage: Eukaryota; Metazoa; Arthropoda; Insecta; Lepidoptera; Bombycidae.